RNAcentral lists this ribosomal RNA (810 nucleotides) under uncultured Planctomycetota bacterium. RNAcentral describes it as "bacterial SSU rRNA". It matches the Rfam family "Bacterial small subunit ribosomal RNA", at positions 64 to 911 of the family's 1533-position model. Lineage: Bacteria; Pseudomonadati; Planctomycetota. The record is from RNAcentral.
GUGCGAGAAUGUAGCAAUACAGGAAAGCGGCGAAAGGGAGAGGACAACAUGGGAAUCUGCCCGGGGGUCGAGGAUAGCGUCGGGAAACUGACGGUAAUACUCGAUAAUGUUUACGGACCAAAGGUUUACUGCCCCUGGAUGAGCCCAUGCCCCAUUAGCUAGUUGGCGGUGUAAUAGACCACCAAGGCGAUGAUGGGUAGCUGGUGUGAGAGCACGACCAGCCUCACUGGCACUGAGACACUGGCCAGACACCUACGGGUGGCUGCAGUCGAGAAUCUUCGGCAAUGGACGAAAGUCUGACCGAGCGACGCCGCGUGCGGGACGAAGGCCUUCGGGUUGUAAACCGCUGUCGAGGGGGAUUAAGGGCAACUUGAAAGAACCCUGGAGGAAGGAGAGGCUAAGCUCGUGCCAGCAGCCGCGGUAAGACGAGCUCUCCAAACGUUAUUCGGUAUCACUGGGCUUAAAGAGUUCGUAGGCGGCUUUACAGGUGGGGUGUGAAAGCCCUCGGCUCAACCGAGGAAUUGCGCCCCAAACCGUAAGGCUUGAGGGAUAUAGGGGUAAGCGGAACAGAUGGUGGAGCGGUGAAAUGCGUUGAUAUCAUCUGGAACACCGGUGGCGAAGGCGGCUUACUGGAUAUUUUCUGACGCUGAGGAACGAAAGCUAGGGUAGCGAACGGGAUUAGAAACCCCGGUAGUCCUAGCCGUAAACGAUGAGCACUAGUUUGAAGGACUCUCACAGUCUUUCGAACGUAGCGAAAGUGUUAAGUGCUCCGCCUGGGGAGUAUGGUCGCAAGGCAAUCUCUAGAGGAUC